Ricinus communis (castor bean) is the source of this 107-nucleotide non-coding RNA. NCBI's taxonomy places the organism in Eukaryota, Viridiplantae, Streptophyta, Magnoliopsida, Malpighiales, Euphorbiaceae. The record is from Rfam.
AAUCCGUGAUAUGGGCAUCAUCUCAACAAGUCCUUAAACCUCUCCCAUGCAUCGUACAUGCUUUCAUCAUCAGACUGCACAAAAGAAGAUAUGUCAUUUCUAAGUUU